RNAcentral lists this ribosomal RNA (374 nucleotides) under uncultured Rhodoferax sp. RNAcentral describes it as "bacterial SSU rRNA". It matches the Rfam family "Bacterial small subunit ribosomal RNA", at positions 1009 to 1382 of the family's 1533-position model. The record is from RNAcentral. Lineage: Bacteria; Pseudomonadati; Pseudomonadota; Betaproteobacteria; Burkholderiales; Comamonadaceae.
CGGGGUCGAGUUCGGCUGGAUCGGAGACAGGUGCUGCAUGGCUGUCGUCAGCUCGUGUCGUGAGAUGUUCGGGUUAAGUCCCGCAACGAGCGCAACCCUUGUCCUUAGUUGCCAUCAUUUAGUUGGGCACUCUAAGGAGACUGCCGGUGUUAAACCGGAGGAAGGUGGGGAUGACGUCAAGUCCUCAUGGCCCUUAUAGGUGGGGCUACACACGUCAUACAAUGGCUGGUACAAAGGGUUGCCAACCCGCGAGGGGGAGCCAAUCCCAUAAAGCCAGUCGUAGUCCGGAUCGUAGUCUGCAACUCGACUACGUGAAGUCGGAAUCGCUAGUAAUCGUGGAUCAGAAUGUCACGGUGAAUACGUUCCCGGGUCUU